UCCAGGCCAACAUCGGUUCUGAGGGUCGGUCAAAGGCCUUGGGAAUGUAUCUACCUACGGGUAGACUUAUAGACCAGGGUGUCAUGCGGCCUCUCGGGACCGAGGAACGCGCUUCGGCUCGGAUGUUGGCGUAAUGGUUGUCAGCGA
Molecule: ribosomal RNA, 147 nt
Filed under: Cladophialophora chaetospira
Lineage: Eukaryota; Fungi; Ascomycota; Eurotiomycetes; Chaetothyriales; Herpotrichiellaceae
Description: partial large subunit ribosomal RNA
Source: RNAcentral